GCCUUGUUCGCUCAGUCGGUAGAGCAUGAGACUCUUAUUCUCAGGGACGGGGGUUCGAGCCCCCCGUUGGACG
RNAcentral lists this transfer RNA (73 nucleotides) under Daphnia pulex (common water flea). Its description in RNAcentral is "tRNA-Lys". It matches the Rfam family "tRNA". From Rfam's summary of the family: Transfer RNA (tRNA) molecules are approximately 80 nucleotides in length. Their secondary structure includes four short double-helical elements and three loops (D, anti-codon, and T loops). Lineage: Eukaryota; Metazoa; Arthropoda; Branchiopoda; Diplostraca; Daphniidae. The record is from RNAcentral.